CUUUUUUAAUAGCAUCUGACAUUUAUUGAAAAUAAGGAGAAGACUUUUGUCCAGGUAGUGUAGGAGAGCCGGGCAGAGUGCAGGGGUCACUGUGUUGAACAAAAGGCACACAUCAGAGAGACGGCUGCUAAUUCAGAAGAGAACCGGAUGCUGGGCAAAAGGAACAGGUCCACAGGAGAACAUGAGUGACUCGAUUUGGCUGCCGGGCAGCCCUGGGACCCGGCAGCCAUCUGGCAGGAGCAGAAGGUGUCUCUGGGAGUAGGGAGGGAAUGGGUCCCGCCGAAGGUGAACGGCUGGCAGAGCCCCUCCAGGGAGGCGGUGAGCUGUUGGAAUCACUGUCCAGGGGCCGUGGCCAGCUCAGUCGGACACCUCCCGGGUGAGACCAGAUCGCUGGAGGCUGCAGUCUGUCGCUGGGACGCGGCGGAUGGUGAUGGCAGCCGCCGCGCAGGUCUCCGGGCACAUCGAUGCAGCCUCCAGCGAUCUGGUCUCACCCGGGAGGUGUCCGACUGAGCUGGCCACGGCCCCUGGACAGUGAUUCCAACAGCUCACCGCCUCCCUGGAGGGGCUCUGCCAGCCGUUCACCUUCGGCGGGACCCAUUCCCUCCCUACUCCCAGAGACACCUUCUGCUCCUGCCAGAUGGCUGCCGGGUCCCAGGGCUGCCCGGCAGCCAAAUCGAGUCACUCAUGUUCUCCUGUGGACCUGUUCCUUUUGCCCAGCAUCCGGUUCUCUUCUGAAUUAGCAGCCGUCUCUCUGAUGUGUGCCUUUUGUUCAACACAGUGACCCCUGCACUCUGCCCGGCUCUCCUACACUACCUGGACAAAAGUCUUCUCCUUAUUUUCAAUAAAUGUCAGAUGCUAUUAAAAAAG
This 867-nucleotide long non-coding RNA is filed under the name Rhinolophus ferrumequinum (greater horseshoe bat). RNAcentral's name for it is "lncRNA (ENSRFEG00010002428.1)". Lineage: Eukaryota; Metazoa; Chordata; Mammalia; Chiroptera; Rhinolophidae. The record is from RNAcentral.